UGAUGAUGAUGAUUCACCACUCCUUGGUGAGUUUGUUGGUGAUGACUCGGUUGAACUCUGUUAUGGACGGAAAGUUGGUUCACGAACUAGUGAAUCAUCCCGUUGAGUUUCUAGAGCUGGAGAAUUUUCACUGGAUGGUUGACCUUCCUUCUCAUUUUUGUCAAAAUAUGGAAGUACAUUCAGUGAUGGAUCUUCAAUAUUUUCCUCCCAAU
Molecule: long non-coding RNA, 212 nt
Filed under: Nicotiana benthamiana
Lineage: Eukaryota; Viridiplantae; Streptophyta; Magnoliopsida; Solanales; Solanaceae
Description: long non-coding RNA (NBEN_LNC000872)
Source: RNAcentral